RNAcentral lists this long non-coding RNA (1403 nucleotides) under Olea europaea subsp. europaea. Lineage: Eukaryota; Viridiplantae; Streptophyta; Magnoliopsida; Lamiales; Oleaceae. The record is from RNAcentral.
CAGGAUUCAACUUAAGUCUUACUGAAGGAGAAGGUCAUGAGGUCGAAUCCUGGGGGACGCGACAGAAAGUCGUGAGGGGUAAGUGGGCGUAAGGCCCACCCAAAGCGGAUACUAGUAAGCUAACAGUUUGGGUACAAAGACUUGGGUCGUUACAAAAAAAUGUCCCCCAGGAUUCGAACUCAUGACCUUCCCCUUCAGUAAGACUUAAGUUGAAUCCUGGUACUUGUCCAAUUCGUACCAGGAUUCCGCUUAAGUCUUACUUAAGGGAAAUGUCAUAAGUUCGAAUCUUGGGGGAUGUGACAAAAAGUCGUGAGGAGUAAAUGGGCGCAAGACCCACUCAAAGCGAAGAGUACGUAAGCUAAUGACUUGGGUAAAUAGACCCGGGUCGUUACAAAAAAAUUAAUGCAAUAGGAAAGUCUUGGAUAAGAUUCGAACCUUGAACCCUUAUUAUAAUCAUUGAAAGCCUGACCACUGUAGCAUCUAUUGCUUUUUGUUAAAUCACUAUUCACGUGAACAGUGUCACAACAUCAAACUAAUAGUGACACUAUUUGGGUAAACGGCGUUCAAGAAGUUUUUUUCCCCCACCAAACAUCAUUCAAAAGAAGAGCUAAACCAGCAAAUAUAGAUAGUGUAAAACAGAGGCAAUAACAAAAUAAAAUUUUAAUUCUAAACUGUCAUCAAUUUUAAAUCCAUCCAAAGGUAUUAUUAUUUAAAAUCAAAUUAAUAAUAAAAACAAACAAACAUUUAAUGUCAAACUUUUAAGAAAAUAAAAUUUAUCACUAUUUUUUUUAAGUCUACAAAAACGUAGACCCGCUCUAAUACCAUUCUGUAACGACCCAAAUUUAAGAUUUAAACCGUUACCAAAAUCAUUUAUUUUAAUAGUGAAGUGCAUGAAAUUAACGAACACGUACUAAUUUAUCGGAGAAUCUCACAACUAAAAAUAAAAUAUAUCCAAAUUAACACAAAAAUCACGUAUAUCAAAUUUAUUAACAAGAAAAUAAAAUGUUGGAAUCAAAAAGUUUUGCCACAUUAACUGCAACGACCCAAAUAUUUUCAGAUUUAAACCGUCACCAAAAUCAUUUAUUUUAAUAGUAAAGUCCAUGAAAUUAACGAACACGUACUAAUUUAUAGGAGAAUCUCACAGCUAAAAAUAAAAUAUAUCCAAAUUAACACAAAAAUCACGUAUAUCACAUUUAUUAACAAGAAAAUAAAAUGUUGGAAUCAAAAAGUUUUGCCACAUUACACUGGAUUUAAUAAUUUAAUUCCAAUUAUCCUGGCAACAACGACUGCACCUCAUCGCCCGCCAACCAAUGAUCCGUUCAAACCUGUAAGGGUAGGGAAAAAUGUGAGUAAAUGGGAAUACUCAGUAGGACAGCGCAAUCCCGAAUAAAAGUAUUUAGAUC